UAUUAUAUUUAGUAUAGUUGUUAAUACUUGGGUAGUACUAGGAAAUACUUAAAACCCAAAGAAUUUGGCGGUAUUUUAGUCUUUUCAGAGGAAUCUGUUCUGUAAUUGAUAGUACACGAUUUGUUUUACUUAAUUUUGUUAUCAGUUUAUAUACCGCCGUCAUAAGAUUAUUUUUGUUUAAGAAUUAAAUUUUCUUUGUUUUUUAAUAAAUUAUAUGUCAGGUCAAGGUGUAGCUUAUAAUUAAGUGGAGAUGGAUUACAAUAAUAGUAAUUAUUACGGAUAAUUGAUUUUAGGUUAAUUUGAAGGUGGAUUUGAUUGUAAAUUUAUUUUUAAUUUUUAUAUUGAUUUAARWUCUAAAAUGUGUACAUAUCGCCCGUCGCUCUCGUUAUUAAGRUGAG
RNAcentral lists this ribosomal RNA (398 nucleotides) under Lebinthus yaeyamensis. RNAcentral describes it as "partial 12S ribosomal RNA". Lineage: Eukaryota; Metazoa; Arthropoda; Insecta; Orthoptera; Gryllidae. The record is from RNAcentral.